AACCUGGGAACUGCAUUCGAAACUGGCAGGCUAGAGUCUUGUAGAGGGGGGUAGAAUUCCAGGUGUAGCGGUGAAAUGCGUAGAGAUCUGGAGGAAUACCGGUGGCGAAGGCGGCCCCCUGGACAAAGACUGACGCUCAGGUGCGAAAGCGUGGGGAGCAAACAGGAUUAGAUACCCUGGUAGUCCACGCCGUAAACGAUGUCGAUUUGGAGGUUGUGCCCUUGAGGCGUGGCUUCCGGAGCUAACGCGUUAAAUCGACCGCCUGGGGAGUACGGCCGCAAGGUUAAAACUCAAAUGAAUUGACGGGGGCCCGCACAAGCGGUGGAGCAUGUGGUUUAAUUCGAUGCAACGCGAAGAACCUUACCUGGUCUUGACAUCCACAGAACUUUCCAGAGAUGGAUUGGUGCCUUCGGGAACUGUGAGACAGGUGCUGCAUGGCUGUCGUCAGCUCGUGUUGUGAAAUGUUGGGUUAAGUCCCGCAACGAGCGCAACCCUUAUCCUUUGUUGCCAGCGGUU
RNAcentral lists this ribosomal RNA (516 nucleotides) under Klebsiella pneumoniae. Its description in RNAcentral is "bacterial SSU rRNA". It matches the Rfam family "Bacterial small subunit ribosomal RNA", at positions 611 to 1126 of the family's 1533-position model. The record is from RNAcentral. Lineage: Bacteria; Pseudomonadati; Pseudomonadota; Gammaproteobacteria; Enterobacterales; Enterobacteriaceae.